This 440-nucleotide ribosomal RNA is filed under the name uncultured bacterium. RNAcentral's name for it is "partial 16S ribosomal RNA". It matches the Rfam family "Bacterial small subunit ribosomal RNA", at positions 338 to 795 of the family's 1533-position model. The record is from RNAcentral.
CCUACGGGAGGCUGCAGUGGGGAAUAUUGCACAAUGGGGGAAACCCUGAUGCAGCGACGCCGCGUGAGUGAAGAAGUAUUUCGGUAUGUAAAGCUCUAUCAGCAGGGAAGAAAAUGACGGUACCUGUCUAAGAAGCCCCGGCUAACUACGUGCCAGCAGCCGCGGUCAUACGUAGGGGGCAAGCGUUAUUCGGAUUUACUGGGGGUAAAGGGAGCGUAGUCGGUUCGGCAAGUCUGAAGUGAAAGGCAGGGGCUUAACCCCUGAACUGCUUUGGAAACUGGCAUGCUAGAGUGCUGGAGAGGGAAGUGGAAUUCCUGGUGUAGCGGUGAAAUGCGUAGAUAUUAGGAGGAACACCGGUGGCGAAGGCGGCUUACUGGACAGUAACUGACGUUGAGGCUCGAAAGCGUGGGGAGCAAACAGGAUUAGAUACCCGGGUAGUC